CGAACGCCACCACCUCCAACUCUGCCCGCCCGGGGCCAGGCCGUCACCGAAGCCACUGCCAGUACCACAGCCGCCAUGUUGAAGUCCUACUUCCCUCCUCCUUCCCCUCACCACUCCGCCCCUUUGGGCGUCGGACGUCAAGGCGCCGCGCUCCACCCUCCCUGGGCCAAUGGGAGGAGUCGACGGUGACGUAACUAAUCUCUCUUCUGCCAAACAACUCUAGUUGCCUGGACCGCUGCAAUUGGAACGAGUGGACCUUGCUGACCCAUAAGGGAGAAAGGGAAGGGAGGUGGGGGGAGUCACUCAGAGGUUAAGGCGUAGAGGCUGGAGAAGCGGCCCAGGAGGGAAUCUGAGAGCCUCGAAUCGUGAAGGGACGCACAAAGACUUACCAAUGAGACCUACUGGGGAAUGAGAAUGUCUGGCUUCUGGUAGCAGAGCUCCAGAGAAGAUACCGUUUGUACUUUGAAGGGUGCAGCGGUUUUAACUCACAAUGAAAGAAAGUGGGCAUUCCAGAAGGGGGAAGUUAAAAUAAGCAAAGAAUAGCAAAUCGUCGAUUCUGGAUUAUUUGCCUACUUAAUUCAACAAAUAAUGGGCAGCCACAGAAGGCUUGUGGAAGACUACUGGAACAAAGCUCUUCAUCAGGAGAAUUUAAAUGGUAGCAGUGAAUAAAAUGGACUGCAGACUACAGGGCAGACUUCUGCACUGAGUAAAAGAUUCACACCUGAAGUAAAGCAGAGACAGCAGGGAUGGAGACCAGGGAAUGAACUGAACCAAGAUUGAAGGGAUUAACUCAACAACACUCCCAUGUAGAGAAUGGGAGGGAGAAUAAAUCAUGGGAGAAUAAAUCAUAAGAAAAAGCAA
Long non-coding RNA from Leopardus geoffroyi (Geoffroy's cat), 861 nucleotides. RefSeq lists it as uncharacterized. The transcript has 2 exons. NCBI's taxonomy places the organism in Eukaryota, Metazoa, Chordata, Mammalia, Carnivora, Felidae. The record is from RefSeq and is a predicted model, not a curated record.